GGAGCUCCAGCAGGCAGAGCUCCAGCCGUUCCUCCAGUGACUGGUGUUUCAGCUUCAGGGCUCUGGUGUGGGUGGUCAGAUCCUUCACUGGAGACGUGGGGCUGUCUGGACCUGCAGAAACUGGUUUGUACUGACCUUAUAGCGGACUCAGCUCCUCUACAGCAUCUUCUCCGAGGCAGCAGUUCAGACUUUCUCCGCUCAGAUGUGAAAGCAGCGCUUUGGACAUCUGUUGAGGAGCGGCGCCACUUUCUCCACACAGGGGGAGGAGCUUUGGUUGUCCUUCACACGGACGAACUCUGGGAUCUUCUGCUCGUUCUCCCGCUGCCUGAUCUCCUCCUGCUCGUACUGGAAAAUACACAUCAGGUAAUCAACUUUAAGCCAAUCAGUGACACCCACAGUUUACUCUAGCAACAUUUCCAUUUCUGAGUUUUAUAAAGAGUGACUCUAAAUGUUGUUUAUGGAUGUUUAUCUGACCUUUUAAGAACUAGGGUGGAUAAAAUCUUGACGAUAAGUGGCCAUAAACAUGGGUGUAAACAGUUCUGGUCCUUGGUAUCUUUUUAUUUACCUGAACUUGUUUGUGUUUUAUUGAUAUUUUAUGUCAGGGCAGGUUCUUGAUGAUGUUAUACUGUGGUGCAAAGAAGCUUUCCUUCACCGAGUUUCCGGUUGACAGGACACUGACGAAGUUCUUCUGCUACCUUUAUUCAGUCAAUGAUUUCGUUUUCUAUAACAUGCUGGUAUGGAAAUCUUGGCAACAAAGACAAGAACUCCCUCAGGAGGAUAGUAAAAGUAGUCUCUAAAGUAGCUAGGGUGUGUUUGAACAGUCUUGAAGACAUUUUUAAUACACAAGUUUAAAGGAAAGCUGAGUCUAUUCUUCAUCCUCUUAAUCAGGAAUAUAAGUCGCUCCUCUCCAAUCUUCGUCUGGCAGGACUCCAGGCCACAAAAGCACGUACAAGUUCUCCUCUGUGCCUAUUUCUUUCCAAGCUAUAAACACUGAGAAGAGGGUGUUUUGAGGCUGUACUUUAUUACUUACUGUGCUGCUCUUCAUCCUGUUUUUAUUUACUUUAUUAUGUCUUGCUGCUCCUGACUAAGCAACUGUUUGCGCUAAACUACACCUGAGACAAAACUAAAUGACCAAUAUUGCUGCUAAUGUCCCUGUCUAUCUUAUGUUUCAUGUGAUAUUUUAUUGUUUUUAUUAAUUUAUUUUGUUCUGUACAUUUCUUCUUAUUUGUUUUUGUUGUCUGUUUAUUGUGAACACUUGUAAAACUGCCACAUAACAAACCCCCCUUCAAGGGACAAAUAAUAAAGUUGUGAUGU
This is a long non-coding RNA of Acanthochromis polyacanthus (spiny chromis), 1314 nucleotides long. RefSeq lists it as uncharacterized. The record is from RefSeq and is a predicted model, not a curated record. The transcript is spliced from 3 exons. Lineage: Eukaryota; Metazoa; Chordata; Actinopteri; Pomacentridae.